AGUAGAAGCUAUCUUAUUUUAAAAAUAAGCAUUAAAAUUCCAACUUAAAAGAUUUCUUAUAAAUCGCCAUUUUUAUUGGAUAUAUCGGGGUGUUCACUCUGCUAGAUAAACUGAAAGAACUAGAAAGGACUGUUUUGAAAGGCAAACUAAAAAAACUAAAAAAAAUAUUUUUUGUGCAUAAUUGAUUCAAUAAUUAUAAAAAAUACAUUUUCCAGUUAUUCAACUGUGUUUUUUAAAAAUAGUUUUAUACAUUUUUUUAAGUUUGUUUUGAGGUGACACCCUGUUUAUUAUGACAUCCGGCCUUAAAGAAAUGUAAACAAACCAAAAAGUAGAGUAUCAAAUUGUAGAUUGAACCUUGCGAAAGCGUUUUACUGUUAUUUUUAAGGAGUUAUAAAAUCUUUAAUAUAUAUUAACUAUAUUAUCAAGCUUAAUUUAUUACAAUAAUAAAAAAAAUGCCUCCUGUAAAAAGAACUAGACGGUGUAAUUUAUAUGGUGGUAGCCCUUCUGAUCUUCCUAUUACAGAUCUAGCAACUUAUGGUGAUGUAGCAAGAUUUUUCUACAAAUUAAAAGAUUUAGAUGGUAUUAAAGACAAAAAUAUUAUUAUUCAAAGAACGCUUUGUAGUUUAAAAGAAAUAUGGUUCAAUUGCAAUUCCAAAUUAGUUUUGUUACCUGAAAAAAGUUUGAUUGUUAAACUUUUAAGAUUUUAUAAUGUUAUUUCUUGGAAUGGAAAUAAAAUUAAACCUUUGACCAAAAAAUUGUUGGAAAAAAAUAAAGAAAAACUUUUUGAUCUGCUAGCAUGUAACUGCAAGCUUGAAGUUCUUCCUUGUGAUGACAGGAAUAUCAAAUGCUCAGGUUGUUCAAAUGUGCAUCUUUACUGUAGUUGUGUUGGUAGUAAAAAAGUUCCUUUGGAAGAGCGCUCCUAUAUAAAAGACCAAAGGGAGAAAAUUGGUACUAAAGGAAAGUUUCAAAUAGGAGGUAUUGAUAACUCUGUUUUAUCACCUACUUCAAGAAAAACAAAGCAAACAAAAGCUUCUGAUGAAGAAAUUUAUAUUAAAGAGUUUGACACAAUCAUGGAUUCAGAUCAGAGUGAAACUUCAAUUUCAUCAUUAAAUCAGACUAGAUCAAAGAACUAUAACACUACCCACUAUCCCAAAUUUGCUUUAGAGGUAAUUAGAUAUGGAAUAUCAGAUGAAGCAGCUGCCGCUGUAGCUAAUGCUCUACUUCAAGAUAUUGGUUAUCUACAUCUAAAUGAUGUAAUUGAUCCAAGUAAAAUGAAAAGAGAGAAAGAACGAGUAUGCUUUAAUGCUAGUUUUGAGCAAUCUAAAGUUUCAAAUAUAAAGGCAAUUGGUUUGGAUAGCAAACGUAAUAAAAACUCAUUGGUUUAUGAACAGAGAGAUAUUGAUGGUGAAAUAAAUCUUUGUUAACUGUAGACCACUUGACAUUCACAAUUGAAUCAGGCGAGUUGCAAGGUCAAUAUCUAAAGCACAUAGAUGUACCUAAAGAAAAAGGUAAAGGAAAAGAUCUUGCUGAAUUUACCUGUAAUGUUCUCAAGGAGUUUAAGAGUGAUAAAAGUAUCCAGGCAAUAAUUUUGGACAAUACAAGUGUUAAUACAGGUAAAGAUAAUGGUUUAGUUGCUUGUCUUGAAAGAAUAUUGAAAAGAAGAAUUCAUUUAAUUGGCUGUCUUCUACAUGUUAACGAGUUACCAUUGCGUCAUUUAAUUUCUAAACUUGAUGGUUCUUCUAAUAGCUCAAAUAAUUAUUCGGGACCAGUUGGAAAAUCUUUGACAAAUCCAAUUCAUUUAAAUUUAACUGUUGACUUCAUACAAGUUGAGACAGACAUUGAAUAUCCUCCUCUGUGUGUCAUUAAAGACCUCUCUGCUGACCAGAGAAUGCUACUGGAAUAUAGUAUUGGAAUUUCUAGAGGGUUUUCAGACAAUAAGUAUCUGAGAAAAAAAAAUAGGCCCUAUUUGUCAUGCAAGGUGGCUGACAACAGCAGUACGGAUCUUGGCACUAUACACAAGAACAAUCAAUCCCAGUAGAGAGCUCAAAAUCUUUGUUGAAUAUAUUCAAACAGUAUAUACUCCUAUGUGGUUUAAUAUUAAAAAGUCUAAGAGUUUCACAGAGGGUCCUAAACUUAUUUUCCAAUUUAUUCAGCGGAUUUUGAGGUUGGAUACUGAAGUUCAAAAUAUUACAUUGCCCAUAAUUUAUAGAAACUCUUUUUGUCUCCAACCUGAAAAUUUUAUUGCUGCUCUACUUUAUUCUGAAGAACAGGUUUAUAGAACAAUUGCUGUUGUUAAGAUUUUGGAAACAAGAAAAACUCUAAUUAAGGAUCCUAAAAAUGGAUUAAAAGAUGGUAUUAGGGUUAAUGCCAUUUCAAUUAUUGAUUGUAGAUGUAAAAACUGGUCAAAAUUAAUAAAUCUGUAUGAUAUAGACUGUUUUGAGCCCCCUUGUGUGGAAGAUAUAUCAAAUGAGGAGCUUUUGAAUAUGAUACCGAAUCAGGGAAAGGCUCCCAACUUUCCGUGCCACUCGCAAACGGUCAAAAGAGCAGUGAAAAUGACUUCUGAUGCUAGCGGAAAAUUUAUUAACCUCAAGAAAAGAAAUGCUUAUAUUUUAGCUAAAUGCCAAAGUCAAAAGAAACGAAAAUAUUUUAGAACAAAGAAAGAUUAUACAUUGUAAUUUGUUAUCAUUUCUUUAAAUUAAUCUAUUUGGUAAUA
This is a non-coding RNA of Hydra vulgaris (swiftwater hydra), 2713 nucleotides long. Lineage: Eukaryota; Metazoa; Cnidaria; Hydrozoa; Anthoathecata; Hydridae. The record is from RefSeq and is a predicted model, not a curated record.